UAGCUCAGCUGAAAAGCUGAGCUAUUCAUAUGAGUAAAUGGUAGAAUGAGUGUCCGUCUGUCUGUCUGUCUGUCUGUCUGUCUGUCUGUCUGUCUGUCUGUCUGUCUGUCUGUCUGUCUGUCUGUCUGUCUGUCCGUUAAACAGGCACGUUUCAAAACUAUGGCGGAUAGGCGAUAGAUUUUCCCUCUGAGGCGUUGAGACCCUUCAGGACUCCUGAAUAGACCAAAUGUGGGUCCGGCAGGAUGAGCGGUUUGGCCACUAGGUGGCACCAAGCGAAAUUUUCCAAAAACUUUUCCAGCAGCUGAUUUCUCAGUUGGGGAUCAUGAAUCAAAUCUAAUUUUAUAGAGCAAAGCUUUCUCUUUCAUUAUCAAUAGGCGUAGUUCAUGAAUUUCUCACCAGGUGGUGUUACUGGCGCAAUUUAGUGAGCACCCCCCAAGAAGAGCAUUUUAAAUUUCGCGCGAGUUAUCCCACGUCCAAUCACACAUGCAGCGAACGUCACGUCUCGAGUCUGCGCAGUUCAGACGUAAGGAGACCAUGCUAUGGAAUAGAUCGCGUUCUGUCAAUUCAGAGGACAGGAAUGAUCUGCAGCUGCAUUUGAACAUAUUUGGUGACUACAUCUCAAAGAUGACCAAGAGAGAGGAUCGAGCUAUGACUUUGCACAUCCCAUCGACUUCGGUGUUCACCAGUGCAAUCAUCAGAAGAGCCAGGCAAUUCUAGUAUUCAAGUAUUUCAUUCUGUAAUACUUACCUCAAAAUUUACUAAAUAAAGAAAACCGCAUGUGGCAGUUGGUUAAAAAAAUCAA
Lineus longissimus is the source of this 802-nucleotide long non-coding RNA. RefSeq lists it as uncharacterized. The transcript has 2 exons. NCBI's taxonomy places the organism in Eukaryota, Metazoa, Nemertea, Pilidiophora, Heteronemertea, Lineidae. The record is from RefSeq and is a predicted model, not a curated record.